GUCACUUCUUAGCCUUUUGGUUAAGAUCAAUUAUAAUGUCUGUUUUUAUCAUUUUAAUGUCUGAGAUGUCCUCCAUCUGAGGACAACAUAUUAAAUGGAUUUUUGGACAUAGGAGAUGAAAUAGGAGCUUGCUUCAUUCACUCUAUGAUAUUAUAGUACCUUUGGAAUGGUGCACCCCAA
Small nuclear RNA from Marmota marmota marmota (Alpine marmot), 180 nucleotides. Its record names the gene U2. It matches the Rfam family "U2 spliceosomal RNA". Rfam says of the family: U2 is a small nuclear RNA (snRNA) component of the spliceosome (involved in pre-mRNA splicing). Complementary binding between U2 snRNA (in an area lying towards the 5' end but 3' to hairpin I) and the branchpoint sequence (BPS) of the intron results the bulging out of an unpaired adenosine, on the BPS, which initiates a nucleophilic attack at the intronic 5' splice site, thus starting the first of two transesterification reactions that mediate splicing. Lineage: Eukaryota; Metazoa; Chordata; Mammalia; Rodentia; Sciuridae. The record is from Ensembl.